This 497-nucleotide ribosomal RNA is filed under the name uncultured bacterium. RNAcentral's name for it is "partial 16S ribosomal RNA". It matches the Rfam family "Bacterial small subunit ribosomal RNA", at positions 28 to 507 of the family's 1533-position model. The record is from RNAcentral.
GAUGAACGCUGGCGGCGUGCCUAAUACAUGCAAGUCGAGCGAACGGACGAGAAGCUUGCUUCUCUGAUGUUAGCGGCGGACGGGUGAGUAACACGUGGAUAACCUACUUAUAAGACUGGGAUAACUUCGGGAAACCGGAGCUAAUACCGGAUAAUAUUCUGAACCGCAUGGUUCAAAAGUGAAAGACGGUCUUGCUGUCACUUAUAGAUGGAUCCGCGCUGCAUUAGCUAGUUGGUAAGGUAACGGCUUACCAAGGCAACGAUGCAUAGCCGACCUGAGAGGGUGAUCGGCCACACUGGAACUGAGACACGGUCCAGACUCCUACGGGAGGCAGCAGUAGGGAAUCUUCCGCAAUGGGCGAAAGCCUGACGGAGCAACGCCGCGUGAGUGAUGAAGGUCUUCGGAUCGUAAAACUCUGUUAUUAGGGAAGAACAUAUGUGUAAGUAACUGUGCACAUCUUGACGGUAGCUAGUCAGAAAGCCACGGCUAACUACGUG